Aedes albopictus (Asian tiger mosquito) is the source of this 1059-nucleotide long non-coding RNA. RefSeq lists it as uncharacterized. The transcript has 2 exons. Lineage: Eukaryota; Metazoa; Arthropoda; Insecta; Diptera; Culicidae. The record is from RefSeq and is a predicted model, not a curated record.
UGGCUUCCUUGAGAAAGAUGAAAUCAUCCAAAUUCACAGAACAUAUUGCCAUCAUCACAUUCAUGCAUGGUUCGUUAGUGAUGGGUGACAACAACACGCUUCUAUUUCACAUACUAGUGGCUGCAAUAAAUUGCACUUGAAAACCAUAUACAAGUUAUAAUACGAUACAGUGCGAAAUUUCCAAAAACUUUUCUAUGGAGUUUCACUAUGUUUUCAAGCGGGUUUUACUUAAUUCAUGUAAAUCCACUGAAAACAUAAUUUUCGAACGGUUACUUGACUUUUUCCAGUGAAAUUGAAAUGUAAUUUCCUCUCAGUGUACACUCUGAAACAUUUUUAAUCAUGGAGAGUUUAAAUUUUAAACCAUUUUAGCAUUCACGAGGUAUACACUACGCAUAGUUUAGGAAGUAUACAAACUACAUAUAUAAAAUUAAACUGUGCCAGAAUAAUGAAAAAAUAGUUUGCCCCUGCUUGGCUUAGUCAUCACAAUCAGGAAAAAAUCGCAGCGUGCUUCAUCAGACAAUUUUGAUUAAGUUUUUGAUUGCUCUCAUCGUAAUAACGAAAAAAUCUACUUUCAUUGGAUAGCACAUCGACCAAUGUUCCAAGGAAUAAAAAGGAAAAUGGCCAACAACACUUAGCAGAACCGGAACCUAGACGGACAGAUACCAGCCCAAAACGACACGCUUAGGAAGGGCAAUAGUGCAAUUUUUCGACGUGAUGAAGAUUAAGAAUUGUCCCGCUCCGGCGGCGGUGGAUUCUGUAACGGCCGUGGAACUGGCAGCGGGAUCCGGUCAUGGCCAUGACGAUGUCGACAGCGGGAAAGCAAAGAUCAUCAUCGAAUGCGGCGGAAUCAAGAGCCGAGGAAUUUGUGAUCGUUACCAGGUGUCGGAGCAAAUAAACAAGCAGCCAGCGUCACGAAAACGGCCAGAACCAAGGCCAGAACCAUGUUUCGGUGAUGAGAGACAGUAGACGUAAGAUUACGGAGAAAGAUCGCCGCGAGCGAGACCGCGAGUGUGCAUUAUUUGUUCAAAUAGAGCCGAGAAUAAAGUAAACCGAAUUGAA